GACGAACGCUGGCGGCGUGCCUAAUACAUGCAAGUAGAACGCACAGUUUAUACCUUAGCUUGCUACACCAUAAACUGUGAGUUGCGAACGGGUGAGUAACGCGUAGGUAACCUGCCUGGUAGCGGGGGAUAACUAUUGGAAACGAUAGCUAAUACCGCAUAAUAUUGAUUAUUGCAUGAUAAUUGAUUGAAAGAUGCUAUUGCAUCACUACCAGAUGGACCUUCGUUGUAUUAGAUAUGAGGUGAGGUAACGGCUCACCUAGGCGACGAUACAUAGCCGACCUGAGAGGGUGAUCGGCCACACUGGGGAGGAGACACGGCCCAGACUUCUACGGGAGGCAGCAGUAGGGAAUCUUCGGCAAUGGACGAAAGUCUGACCGAGAAACGCCGCGUGAGUGAAGAAGGUUUUCGGAUCGUAAAGCUAUGUUGUAAGAGAAGAAAGGGUGUGAGAGUGGAAAGUUCACACUGUGACGGUAUCUUACCAGAAAGGGACGGCUAACUACGUG
RNAcentral lists this ribosomal RNA (505 nucleotides) under uncultured bacterium. RNAcentral's name for it is "partial 16S ribosomal RNA". It matches the Rfam family "Bacterial small subunit ribosomal RNA", at positions 28 to 507 of the family's 1533-position model. The record is from RNAcentral.